Molecule: long non-coding RNA, 3433 nt
Filed under: Homo sapiens (human)
Lineage: Eukaryota; Metazoa; Chordata; Mammalia; Primates; Hominidae
Description: HSALNT0366677
Source: RNAcentral
AGUCCACCUGCGCGGCUGAGUGGAGGAUGCUAGGUUGCUGUGCUGUUUCUCCUACUGUCUUGCUGCCGCACCACCCCUCAGAAAAACCGGGUCGUCAGUUUCCUGCGGUUUGCACUCACCAAAUAUACUUAGCAAUUUGCAAUUCACCCGCAGGAUUAUUCCAGCCUCUGUGAUCACACACAGAAGGAUGAGCCUUCCUCGUGAGGGUUGGAGAUGGAGGGAGAAGGGAUGGAGAGUAAGGAUGGGACGGAGGUUGUGGAGCAGCAGACCAACACGCCAGAAAGGAAAAUAAUGAUCAUCUCAAUUUUUAUAUGUGGAGGCAUUGCUUUUCUUCUUUGGGGGAUUUUAAGAUUUCCCAGAAAAUGUAAGUAAACAAUUUCUGCUAAAAUUAUUAAAUUAAAUUGUUAAAAUUAUUGUAUUAUUGAUUCAGUUGGAUACCAAUAACUAGUCUUUCCUUCCUUAAUAUAGAACAAUUUAGAGAUAAAAGCAUUUUCCAAGACAGUGCAUCUAAUUGCUCUUCAAACUUAGUCACCUGCUUCACCUUCUAGAAUAAUCAGUCUUUCAAUAAAUAUGUAUCAAGCUUUAGGCACAGUGCUGCCUGCUGAUGAUAUAACAAUGAAAAAAAAUGGUAUUUCUUGCCUGAAAGUAGUUUAUCUUUAACUGAAUAUGGAAGCAUGUAAGCAAACAACUGUAACACAAAAGAAAUAAUUACUAAAUAGAACUAUGUUGAAUUUGAAGCAGGAGAGGAGAUUAUAAGUUAGCUGCUUGUAGUCAAGGCUUUAAUGAAGGGAGAAAUAUUUGUGCUGAAUCUUAAACUCAAGUAGGCGUUUAUCAAAGAUCAUCUUAGAACACACAUGUCAGAGAAUCACACCAGGUAUAAUUAUGAUGGAGUUACAAAGAAGUAGGGUGAGGGACUGGCAAUUGUAUUAUAGUUCCCUAGUGCAUUAACUCUUUCACUGCCAUUCAUUAGCAAUUUAUACCUUGUCCUUCAUCUCCAUUCUCCUCAUGCUCAUUCUCAUGUCUAUACCCUUGCUUCCAACUUGUUCUAAUUUUAACAAUUUGUAGGAAACUUCCAAAUGCUCCCAUCACCACACCAGCUUACUUACUCCAUCUCUGCCCCUACACUCUGCCUAGACUCCUGGAACUGUAGAUGCAGUAUUCAUGUUCUACAAUAGAUCCUAUAUUCUUUCACUGGAUCAGUAAUAUCACCCUAGUAAUUCUCCACUCUCCUACAUUAUCCUUUUUUCAUCCUCAACUGAAACAUCUCCAUCAGCAAAUAUGACAUACUGGUAUCUAUAUCAACCUUGAAAAAAUAAACAACAAAAACAACAGAAUUUAUUAGACCCCACUUAUCUUUUAGCAACCAAUUUAUUGUUUUUCUCCUUGGUACAGCAACCUCUUUAAAACGGCUUUUCAAAAUAAUUUUUUAUCUUUCCUUUUUCUGUUAAAUCCACUUGGAUCAAGCUUCCACUCUGCUUUUUCCACCAAACUUGUCUUUCAAGUUCACCAAUAACUUCCAUAUUGCUAAAUCGACUGGUCCAUUCUCCCUCCUCACCUUAUUAUAUAACCUAUUUGCAGCUUUUGGCACUCCCUUUUUCUAAAAAAAAAAAAAAAUUUCAUUUGACUUACAUGACGCCAUAUUCUUGUGGUUUGCUUUCUACUCAUUUUACCAACAACCGUGAUUCCCUGAUUCUCCUUCACUCUGAUCUAUUUUACGACAAACUAUAUAAUUUCAGACGCAUAAGUCCCAUAAGAGUAGGUAUUUCUGUAUGUUAUGUAGGCUAUUCAUAGAGUUACAAAAAUGUCUGGCGUGUAGCAGGUGCUCAAUCGGUAGUUGUUGACUGCGUAAAUGAAAGAAUGAAUUAAUUAGUAAAUGAAUGAGAAAACUGCCUUUCUGGUGACCCAAGUUUUGAAUUAAGUAUUUGGUUUUUAUAUUGGUUAUUGAUUUGAAUUUGACAUUUUAAAAUAAUUUUGAACAUGACACAUUCAAAUAACUUUGAUAACUUGAUUUUUUCACUUCACUCUCAGGUCUCAACUAUAUAGAACCAUAUUGCCAGUUGAUCCUUCCCAUUGAGGAUUUUCCCACUCACAGAUUUGAAGAUGAACCAGUCAUUUAUUUUAGUUGUGGAUAGGAGGUGCUCUCAGAGCUUGUUUCUUUCAGGAUUAUACCUUAACAAGGAACUUCCUUUAUCUAGUGCAGUAACUUAAGGAGUAAAAGUGGAGAGUAAAAAGGGAAAUUUUAGCAUUCUUUUUUCUGUGUUUCUUGUUUCAUAACGGACAAGGAAACAGCGCCACCUUCUAGAGAAAUGCUGUCUUUGAAAGACAAUAUAGUCUCAGUUAAGUUGAUGAUAGGAACCAGCUCACUGAAGUUAUGAAUAUAGAAAAAUUUGUUUAUUUACACUGCAACUUGUUCUAGAGAGCAUAGUAAAUUUUAGGAAAGAAAUAGAUGAAUAAAGAAAAUUCAUGUAGUCUAAAAAUUAGGAGGGAAAAUGGCUGGAAGAUACUGAAUUUCUGGAAGUUUGUUAUUGAGUUUUUAAAUUUUUCAUAGCUCUCAUUCUCCAGUGCUUAUUCCUUUCAUGUUCUCUUCUCGAUAUUCAAUUUUUUUGAAUUGAUGUUUAAAGUUAAGUCAUUCAAAUUGAAUAUGUAAGUAAAACACAUUUUAUUAGUCUGAGCUAUAUAAUAAUAUUUUACUCUGAAGCUCACUCUUUCUUUCUUUGAUACUUUCUUUAUUCUUUUUCUCUAUUACCUGUUAAUUUCAGUUGGAAUUCCAAGGCACCUUAGAAACAAGACAUGCCUAGAAAAUUUGACUAUGUGUCCACAAGGCUGGAACUGAAUCAAUAAUAAUUGCUUCUUUCAAUCUGAACAUGAAACAACGUGGAUCAAUGGCUGAGAAAACUGCAGAAGUUAUGGAUCUCUGGCCAGGCUCAACUCUCAGAAUGAAAUGGGAAUCUUUGAUGCAUUAUCUGGGGCCGUCUUUAUAUUGGUUUGAACUGAGCAAGCACAAUGCAAACAAAACGUGGAUGUGGGCAGAUGGAGCUACAUUCAGCAAUUGUGAAAGAAUCGAGUUUUGUGCUAUGAGUCAUGGGAGCAAAACGUGAGUAUUUAGAAGUGGAGAGGACCACGAAGAAGGAAGCCCUGGUGACUUGAAGAAAUCAUGGAGAGUUCUCCGGAUUCCCACAAACCUAUGGGGUUUAGAUUCCAGCUAAUACUUACACGGGUCUCAGAAGGACAGAGGGCAAGGGUUAACAUCUGGCUGAUAUUAAAGUCUCUGCACCUCUUAAUAUUUUACUUUGGCCUAGUUUUCUUUUCUUCGCUUUUACAUUUCCUGAUAUAAUGAGUAAUUCUCUUUUGAGUAUUAACUUGUACCAUGAACUAUGCUAAAUAUUUUUACCCCUAAAUGAUGAAGAAUUUUUAUCAUUUUUUGCUGAAAUAA